GUAUUGUAUGAAAGGAAAGGAGGUUAUUACCACCUUGACAAGGAAGCAAGAGGCUUUGGUCUACAAUAAAUGUGGUUAAGGCACUGUCACCUCCUGUGUUUAAGCUACCCCAACUGUGGCAUUUU
This is a small nuclear RNA of Sorex fumeus (smoky shrew), 125 nucleotides long. Lineage: Eukaryota; Metazoa; Chordata; Mammalia; Eulipotyphla; Soricidae. The record is from RefSeq and is a predicted model, not a curated record.